Long non-coding RNA from Cygnus olor (mute swan), 1382 nucleotides. RefSeq lists it as uncharacterized. NCBI's taxonomy places the organism in Eukaryota, Metazoa, Chordata, Aves, Anseriformes, Anatidae. The record is from RefSeq and is a predicted model, not a curated record. The transcript is spliced from 3 exons.
UUCCCAUUUUCUAGCUGGAAGUUGGAGGGAUUUGAAACUCAUCCAGGGAUUUGAAACUUCAGCAGUUUCUCUUCUGAUAUACUCAAACCAGGCAAAGGAAAUUUUCAGGCUGUAUUAUGACCUUAAUACUUCCAUGCAGCCCAUUAUCUGCUCAUUAUUGAGCUAUAAUAAACAUGGAGUCCUUGAAGUACUUUUUUCUUCUCAAAUCACUUUAAGAAAGAACACUCGCAAUAUCGAAUCAAGGACAUAUUGUCAAACGGAAUCAUUUCAGGAUGAGAUCACUCAAGUGCAUAUAAAUAGCACAGACAAGACCUAAACCUGAGGCCCCACCACAGGAUGGCAGUGGGCCUACUGUAGCUGAUGGGUGGCUGAAGCAAGAAUAUCCCGGGCAGCUAAUAAAAAGCUCAUGUUUGCAACCAAGUCCAUUCCCCAGGGAGCAAGCAGCCCCACCAGGAGAAGAGCAGGAGCUGGCAGGUGUUUCCAGGGAACAGAUCAGGUGCCAUGGCGCACACAGCUCUCACCAGUGACAGACUCUUUUUCAACAGUCCUUCCCUCCAUCUACAAAUACGAGGCUGUGUCCUUCAAAAAUCUCUUUCAUUUUAAUUACCUCAUUCAUUCAGCUCAUGGCUGUGUCCCCAAGCCCUCCUGUGCCUCUGCAGCUCCAUGGAGAGCAGGGCACCCACCGCACACACUCCACCCUGCCUCUGGCGGCAAAGCCAAGGAGCAAGCUCUGCAGAAGCAGGCCUGUGAGGGUGUCCACAGGGUGUGGGCUGUGUGUGCUCAUCCUUCUGUGAGUGUGAGACCUCAGCUGAUGUUAGGAAAAGGAGAGAAAUACAGACAGCCUGUGGUGAAUGAGUGUUUGGUUUUUAGUGUGUGCACAAUUACUUAAAAAGAAAAAAAGUGUUUAGGGGAUCCCUGUUUGACAUGUGGGUUUACACCAUUGGUGAGUAAAUUCAAUGUCAGGUGAUAACCUUCCUCAUGAUUCCAGUCUCUGUUCAUACAACUCUAGCUGACGUUGCUGGAUGCUGCAGAAGGGGGAUCUCUGCAUCUGUCUCUGAGUGACAGCUGUAAGCUCGGUUAUCACUCAGUCAGGGAAUAUGUGGAUGUUUUGGAGAACAAGGGCCCCCAGACACAUGUGAAGGAACUGCACUGACCCUGCCUGCCAAACCAAGAGGCCCCUCAAGGUUGAAGCAUGCCCCCAAACUCUUUAGGACCGUGGCCAGCAGCAGGACAACCCAUUGUACACGGCUGUGUAAGAGCAUGCAGGGUGCAGGACCUGGUCCAGCUGUAGGUUCCCACUGAGGGAGAGGGGACAGACCCAGGGUCAACUUGUCAGGGCUGGCUGCCCAGAGAGGAGGGCAGGAGAGUGCCAGGUUCCUCAA